GUCUCGCAACGACGAAGAAGAGAGUGUGUAAAUUGAGAGACGUCAGAAGACAACAUGCGCCUUUAACAUUUUCUUUUCAUUUUUCUUUACUUUUUCGUAACUUUUUGUUACUAUUUUGAAGCUGUGCAAUUUGUUUCCAAAGUAAAAAUCGCUUAAACCUCACAUAAAAUUGUCUUGUGUUUAUUACUCCUUUUAAUAUGCGUGUC
This is a non-coding RNA of Caenorhabditis elegans, 206 nucleotides long. The record is from Ensembl. Lineage: Eukaryota; Metazoa; Nematoda; Chromadorea; Rhabditida; Rhabditidae.